AGCUCCAUGGGGGUCGUCAUUUCCGGUGCAUGGUGCUGCAGGUUGGCUGCAGCACAGGGAGGAACUUACAGACAUAAAUUCUCCUGAGACUGAGUCAACAUGCCUUUGGAAUACAAAGUUCAGUGUUGUCACAACUCCAGAUAUCAUUCAGGGAAAUGACAACUCACACAGAAGGAAGUGCACAUGAGUCACAGCUCACAGCCUCAGAGUACCAGGCAGCUCCAUUUUUCACCUGACAGCUGGGGACCUCAGGCUUUUCCCAUGGUCAUCUCAGAAGAGCCAGAGAAGGAGGAGUUUUAUAUGAUUGGAAAACACGCCAUCGUUGCCAGAUACUGUGGCAGAGACAGAUGGCAUGGCAGAUGCUGCAAAAGAAAAGUGACUUACUACUAGGUGAACCAGAAAAAAAAAAAAAUAAGGACAGAAGAAAAAGUACACAUGCUCCCCUUGACUGUCAGGAACAUCUUCCCAUAUCCCUAAACCGUCUAAUUGUAUUCCAUAGUGCUGCGGGUUGCAAAUGAAGUGUCUUACCAUUCUCCAAUGACAGAACAUUUGGAAUGGUACUUUGAGCAUAUUUAAGUGGAAGCUGUUUAAAAUGUGCCUUUGAGAUACCCAAAGGCAGGCACAUGAUCCUUGACGUUUGUACAGUUAGUGGCUGGAGAUGCCAGUGUCCACUCUAGAGGGUAAUAAAUGAUAGAGAAGAUCUAGUGCUGAUGUGGCUGGGCUCUCUCAUUCAGUAAGUGCAUAGAUCCCUUUGGUUUAAAAUAAAGGCCAUAGAAAAAUCAAAAGUUAAUAUGUGUUGUGAGUCCAUGGAAUUGAGAAGGAAUGGAUGAAACCAAUAAAAAUCAUCUACAGUGCUGAAGAUAGAUAGUUUUAACAUGUAUAGAUUUAAUGUAUGGAAAUUAAACAAUAUGAACUUGGCGAUUACUCUUGUAUCAUUUCUAUUAAACAGAAAUGGGAGCAAAGGAGCCUAAAAUAGCCAAUGUGGAUUGCUGAAGCAGGGAAAGUAUGUGAAUGAUAUUAAUGAUUUUCCUGUCAUAAAAAAAGAGUGACUGGAUAAGUAUUUGGUGAUGGUUUUGUUACU
This is a non-coding RNA of Heterocephalus glaber (naked mole-rat), 1081 nucleotides long. The record is from RefSeq and is a predicted model, not a curated record. Lineage: Eukaryota; Metazoa; Chordata; Mammalia; Rodentia; Bathyergidae.